Long non-coding RNA from Eubalaena glacialis (North Atlantic right whale), 563 nucleotides. RefSeq lists it as uncharacterized. NCBI's taxonomy places the organism in Eukaryota, Metazoa, Chordata, Mammalia, Artiodactyla, Balaenidae. The record is from RefSeq and is a predicted model, not a curated record. The transcript has 3 exons.
CCCGCACCCGGGUCCCUCCACCCCACCCUGCUCCGCGCCAUGACCCACGUGUACAGAGGCUGCAGUUGUAAAUGCGACGUCUUCUGGGGCGCCUGGUAUCCAUAGGAGUCAAAACCGCCGAUGAAAUCAACUGUGGAAGGGCAGAUGGCACGUGGUUAGAGAUGGGCCUGUGACGGGGCACCACACUUCUUGUGGGAUCCUAGUUCCCUGACCAGGGAUCGAACCCGGGCCCCGGCAGUAAAAGUGCCGAGUCCUAACCACUGGACCGCCAGGGAAUUCCCUCCAGAAGACUUUAUAUAAGUAAGGUCUGCUUCACACCUGGGUUGUUGUAACAGCUUCCUUUCCUGGCUGGAUUUGUGAAAGAGAACACCUUGUGAAAGAGCUCAAGCCGACCUGCUGGAGGAAGAGAGGCCACAGGGAAAAGAACCAAGGCACCCCAGCUGACAGCCAGUCAACCGUCAACACACACGAGUGAGGUCAUCCUAGAUCAUUCAGAUGCUAGCCAACCCACCAACUGACCAAAGACAGGUCGCCAGACCAAAAAAUCUCCCAGCUGACCCACA